Molecule: ribosomal RNA, 572 nt
Filed under: Anabaena azotica LCRSM-1
Lineage: Bacteria; Bacillati; Cyanobacteriota; Cyanophyceae; Nostocales; Nostocaceae
Description: bacterial SSU rRNA
Rfam family: Bacterial small subunit ribosomal RNA
Source: RNAcentral
GAUUAAUUGCCUGGAGAUGAGCUCGCGUCUGAUUAGCUAGUUGGUGUGGUAAGAGCGCACCAAGGCGACGAUCAGUAGCUGGUCUGAGAGGAUGAUCAGCCACACUGGGACUGAGACACGGCCCAGACUCCUACGGGAGGCAGCAGUGGGGAAUUUUCCGCAAUGGGCGAAAGCCUGACGGAGCAAUACCGCGUGAGGGAGGAAGGCUCUUGGGUUGUAAACCUCUUUUCUCAAGGAAUAAGAUCUGAAGGUACUUGAGGAAUAAGCAUCGGCUAACUCCGUGCCAGCAGCCGCGGUAAUACGGAGGAUGCAAGCGUUAUCCGGAAUGAUUGGGCGUAAAGGGUCCGCAGGUGGCAUUGUGUGUCUGCUGUCAAAGAAUGAGGCUCAACCUUAUCAAGGCAGUGGAAACUACAAAGCUAGAGUACGGUCGGGGUAGAAGGAAUUCCUGGUGUAGCGGUGAAAUGCGUAGAGAUCAGAAGAACACCGGUGGCGAAAGCGUUCUGCUAGACCUGUACUGACACUGAGGGACGAAAGCUAGGGGAGCGAAUGGGGAUUAGAUACUCCCAGUAGUC